CCUACGGGUGGCAGCAGUGAGGAAUAUUGGUCAAUGGACGAGAGUCUGAACCAGCCAAGUAGCGUGAAGGAUGACUGCCCUAUGGGUUGUAAACUUCUUUUAUAUGGGAAUAAAAUGUUCCACGUGUGGGAUUUUGUAUGUACCAUAUGAAUAAGGACCGGCUAACUCCGUGCCAGGAGCCGCGGUAAUACGGAGGGUCCGAGCGUUAUCCGGAUUUAAUGGGGUUAAAGGGGGCGUAGGUGGAUUGUUAAGUCAGUUGUGAAAGUUUGCGGCUCAACCGUAGAAUUGCAGUUGAAACUGGCAGUCUUGAGUGCAGUAGAGGUGGGCGGAAUUCGUGGUGUAGCGGUGAAAUGCUUAGAUAUCACGAAGAACUCCGAUUGCGAAGGCAGCUCACUGGACUGCAACUGACACUGAGGCUCGAAAGUGUGGGUAUCAAACAGGAUUAGAUACCCCGGUAGUC
RNAcentral lists this ribosomal RNA (460 nucleotides) under uncultured bacterium. RNAcentral's name for it is "partial 16S ribosomal RNA". It matches the Rfam family "Bacterial small subunit ribosomal RNA", at positions 338 to 795 of the family's 1533-position model. The record is from RNAcentral.